Molecule: non-coding RNA, 107 nt
Organism: Mycena polygramma
Lineage: Eukaryota; Fungi; Basidiomycota; Agaricomycetes; Agaricales; Mycenaceae
Source: the annotation of a GenBank genome assembly
UCCGAAUUGGUGUAGGGGUCAACAUUGCCGCUUCUCACGAUUACGUAAUCCUUCAGGAUAGUGUAAUUCGCUCGCGGCAGCCCGGGGUUCGAUUCCCCGAUUCGGAA